Molecule: long non-coding RNA, 213 nt
Organism: Marmota flaviventris (yellow-bellied marmot)
Lineage: Eukaryota; Metazoa; Chordata; Mammalia; Rodentia; Sciuridae
Source: RefSeq, a predicted model, not a curated record
CGGAGGAAGUUUACAAUGGACCGAACAGAGCGCAAACUCUAGGAAGAUUCCUGGCGCCAAAGGAAUUCCUGCGGUCGGGAAUUUCCUAAAAUUCUACUGUGCCAUGCCCUUAUAAUAUGCCACCCUAGCCAGAGGCCCAAAAUUAUGCACUACCCAUUUUGGAUUGGAACCUCCAAAAUGGUGAGCCAAAAUAAACCUUUUCUUUUUAUGUUA